AGUGAACGCUGGCGGUAGGCCUAACACAUGCAAGUCGAACGGCAGCACAGUAAGAGCUUGCUCUUACGGGUGGCGAGUGGCGGACGGGUGAGGAAUACAUCGGAAUCUACUUUUUCGUGGGGGAUAACGUAGGGAAACUUACGCUAAUACCGUAUACGACCUACGGGUGAAAGCAGGGGAUCUUCGGACCUUGCGCGAUUGAAUGAGCCGAUGUCGGAUUAGCUAGUUGGCGGGGUAAAGGCCCACCAAGGCGACGAUCCGUAGCUGGUCUGAGAGGAUGAUCAGCCACACUGGAACUGAGACACGGUCCAGACUCCUACGGGAGGCAGCAGUGGGGAAUAUUGCACAAUGGGCGCAAGCCUGAUCCAGCCAUACCGCGUGGGUGAAGAAGGCCUUCGGGUUGUAAAGCCCUUUUGUUGGGAAAGAAAAGCAGCAGGUUAAUACCCCGCUGUUCUGACGGUACCCAAAGAAUAAGCACCGGCUAACUUCGUG
This 492-nucleotide ribosomal RNA is filed under the name uncultured bacterium. RNAcentral describes it as "partial 16S ribosomal RNA". It matches the Rfam family "Bacterial small subunit ribosomal RNA", at positions 29 to 507 of the family's 1533-position model. The record is from RNAcentral.